Molecule: ribosomal RNA, 235 nt
Filed under: uncultured bacterium
Lineage: Bacteria
Description: partial 16S ribosomal RNA
Rfam family: Bacterial small subunit ribosomal RNA
Source: RNAcentral
UACGUAGGGUGCAAGCGUUGUCCGGAAUUAUUGGGCGUAAAGAGCUCGUAGGCGGUUUGUUGCGUCGGCUGUGAAAUCCCGAGGCUCAACCUCGGGUCUGCAGUCGAUACGAGCAAACUAGAGUGUUGCAGGGGAGACUGGAAUUCCUGGUGUAGCGGUGAAAUGCGCAGAUAUCAGGAGGAACACCCGGUGGCGGAAGGCGGGGUCUCUGGGCCGAUACUGACGCUGGAGGAGC